This 1415-nucleotide ribosomal RNA is filed under the name metagenome. RNAcentral describes it as "bacterial SSU rRNA". It matches the Rfam family "Bacterial small subunit ribosomal RNA". The record is from RNAcentral.
UGGCGGUAUGCCUAACACAUGCAAGUAGAACGGAACCUUCGGGUUUAGUGGCGGACGGGUGAGUAACGCGUGAGAAUCUGCCUUCAGGAUGGGGACAACAGUUGGAAACGACUGCUAAUACCCGAUAUGCAGCAAUGUGAAAGAUUUAUCGCCUGGAGAUGAGCUCGCGUUGGAUUAGCUAGAUGGUGUGGUAAAGGCGCACCAUGGCGACGAUCCAUAGCUGGUCUGAGAGGAUGAGCAGCCACACUGGGACUGAGACACGGCCCAGACUCCUACGGGAGGCAGCAGUGGGGAAUUUUCCGCAAUGGGCGCAAGCCUGACGGAGCAAUACCGCGUGAGGGAGGAAGGCUCUUGGGUCGUAAACCUCUUUUCUCAGGGAAGAACACAAUGACGGUACCUGAGGAAUCAGCAUCGGCUAACUCCGUGCCAGCAGCCGCGGUAAUACGGAGGAUGCAAGCGUUAUCCGGAAUGAUUGGGCGUAAAGCGUCCGUAGGUGGUUUUGUAAGUCUGUGGUUAAUCGUGUAGCUCAACUACAUAACGGCCAUGGAAACUACAAGACUAGAGUUAAGUAGGGGUAGAGGGAAUUCCCAGUGUAGCGGUGAAAUGCGUAGAGAUUGGGAAGAACACCGGUGGCGAAAGCGCUCUACUGGACUUAUACUGACACUGAGGGACGAAAGCUAGGGGAGCGAAAGGGAUUAGAUACCCCUGUAGUCCUAGCCGUAAACGAUGGAUACUAGGUGUUGCCCGUAUCGACCCGGGCAGUGCCGUAGCUAACGCGUUAAGUAUCCCGCCUGGGGAGUACGCACGCAAGUGUGAAACUCAAAGGAAUUGACGGGGGCCCGCACAAGCGGUGGAGUAUGUGGUUUAAUUCGAUGCAACGCGAAGAACCUUACCAGGGCUUGACAUGUCUGGAAUCUUGGGGAAACUUGAGAGUGCCUUCGGGAGCCAGAACACAGGUGGUGCAUGGCUGUCGUCAGCUCGUGUCGUGAGAUGUUGGGUUAAGUCCCGCAACGAGCGCAACCCUCGUUUUUAGUUGCCAUCAUUCAGUUGGGCACUCUAGAAAGACUGCCGGUGACAAACCGGAGGAAGGUGGGGAUGACGUCAAGUCAGCAUGCCCCUUACGCCCUGGGCUACACACGUACUACAAUGCUAUGGACAAAGGGCAGCCAACCAGCGAUGGUGAGCUAAUCCCAUAAACCAUGGCUCAGUUCAGAUCGCAGGCUGCAACUCGCCUGCGUGAAGGCGGAAUCGCUAGUAAUCGCCGGUCAGCAUACGGCGGUGAAUCCGUUCCCGGGCCUUGUACACACCGCCCGUCACACCAUGGGAGUUGGUCACGCCCGAAGUCGUUACUCUAACCGCAAGGAAGAGGACGCCGAAGGUAGGGCUGAUGACUGGGGUGAAGUCGUAACAAGGUA